AUCAGUGUGGUAGGAAAUAUUACUGGAAAGGUUCUUUAACUAAACACAAACAGCGGGAAUGUGGGAAGGAGCCACAAUAUGCAUGUUCCCUUUGUUCAUAUAAAUCAAAGCAAAAAGGCAGUCUACAGAGACAUGUGCUUAGAGUUCAUGAAGGAUCUAUAUUUUUGCCUAUAUCAUCAGCAAGCAAUUUAUGGUGUGACUCAGAAGCAGCAUGAUGUUUUCUCAACUUCAGUUAAUUACUAUAUUGAAAACAAUCCUUCCUGUCUGUGUGUUUGGGUGGGGGAGGGAGUGAUGAUCUGGUGGCUCUGACUUUAUUCUGCAUGACUUUUUGCUUUGAUAGCAUGUUAUUUAUUUUGAGUGUGCAUAACAAAAGACUUUCUUCCUUUACACCAGAGAACAAAUUCUAGAAAGACUAAUAUUUAGAGAGGAGUGAUAGGUGUUGGUAUUACACAUGAUUUACAACUCAAAAAAGAACACUAUGGAGUGUUGCAUUGGAAGCAGUAGACUGAGUAACAAAGAGGACCUUGCAAUAACAGAAAAGUAAGAGGCAAAACAAUAUCAUAGUUAUGUAGCAACAUCAUGACAACAUACAAUUCAUAAAACUUUGUUUGCAACAAACUGACUUUUUAUGUAUUUGUAUAUGUAUAGAAAGUUCUGGUCGAAAUUCAUAAAUUAUUUAGGCAUAAAGGAGAUGACUCACCAAAAGACAGAAGCACUGUGUCAUCAAUGGGGGUGUAUAAAAAAAAAAUAAUAAUGAGAGAGCUUGGCUAGCUUUUGGAACGCACCACACACACACACACACACACACACACACACACACACACACACACUCUCUCUCUCUCUCUCUCUCUCUCUCUCUCUUUCUCUCAUAAUGCCUGCCUCCAUACACAGUGCUUUAUUCCUAAAUAAUUUUUAUUUAUGUACUGAGUCAAUUGCUUGUGUAAGUACAAAUGUUAUUGAGAAACAAUGCUUAGAAUCUUAAAUUUGUGUGACAAAUGUGAAACCCAUUUUGAAGAAAAAUGUAUUGCUAACUAUGUAUAAUAAGUAUGCCUUGCAACUGUGCAUGUCAGCUGUGUUCUGUAUCUGUACUAGAGUAAGUUGUUGUGUGUAUUUCAUGCGCCUCUUCCCCUUCUAUUGGCACUUCCUGCUUCAUCUCUUUGUCUUCUUCUCUUCAUACUAACUUCUCUUUUGUAAUGUUUCAUUCGUUGUUGCCACUUUGGAAGUUACUAGGGCUUCGCUAUUUUGUUUUGGCUCUUCUAGCAGUGUCGUAUGCUAGUGCGGCAAGGGUACUGCAGAAAUGUACUUGCAGAAAAAGAAAAUAAAGAUUACAUAAUUAUUAUUCUUAUUUUGGCCAUGCAGACAGACAUAUCAAUUACAUAUUUGUUUCCUAAAGUAAUGAUUAAAACUUUAUUUUUACAAAGUGAUAAUUAAAACUUUGACUUCCUCAUGCAGUGUCAUACUUUUGUAGUCAGGACUUAGUUGGCAGGUAGUGGUUGUCACAUAUCUGUGGCUGCAGUCUGUACUGGAAUGGUUCACUGUGUCCUACUGACUGUCACUGCUUGGGGCUACAAGCAGAAUCAUGCACGAUCAAUUGGCAGAUGUCAAAAUGCCUUACAUCAGGCCAACAACCAAGUGUCCCACACUAGGAGGAUCACUCCCCUAGCAUUCUGCAAAAUUUCCUCUGGGCAUGUCCCUUAUAUUUGAUUGCCCAGCUCAAGCUCUGGGCAUGCCCCUUUCAUUUGAUUGCCCAACUCAAAUUGUUUCAGCAAUCAAAUUAUUUCAGAAUUUAAAUCAAAUUAUUUGUCAGCACUCUUGUUGCUGUUGUGUGAUGCCUUCUUUUCCCAUGCUAAAAGAAACAUGCUCUCACCAAAAAUAUUCCUUUUUAAAAGCAUUCUGUUCAUGAAUAAUGUUUAGUUUAGCAGUAUCUUUAAAACUUUGUGACCUGUUGUGUAGUUAAUCGUGUCAUAUCCCUUUGGCUGGCACCUUCCUUGUAAUGUUAUUGCCAAUGUACAAGGCAAUAAUAAUCUUCGGUGUGGUUAUUUGGACGUGGGCCUUUAAUGUCUGUCUGGUAGCUGUCUGCAACAUCAUUGCGUAAUGUGGACCCUCUGCUUUUUCUUUGUCACUCGGCAGACACAUUACAAUUUCUGGCAUUCUUUUUGUCAUGUUUUAUUCGUGUGACUCUCAGUCUUUCAUUGCAUUUCCCGUGUUGAAACCUGUAUCUCGUAUUCCUCUGUCAUCAGGUUAAAUAAAGCAGUUCUUCAGUCUCUGGACUUUUACAUGAAAGGAAAUUUGUAGAAGUCAAACUCUAACCUUCCAUCCUUUUUCUUGUGUUUUGUCACUCGCUUCUCACCUUGAUUAGUUGACAAAUUUACCUCAUACUUUUAUAGUAAGUUUUUUUAAUUUCUCUUGUUUUAACAACAUAUGUCUAUUUGUAAAUGUCUGAUUAAAUGAUAGUUUCAUAUCAGAAAGAUGGAGUUUCAAAUCCCUGUCCCAUCACACCAUCAAGAGUAGGUUUUUGUACUUAGCUUGUACCUGACACUCUGUUUAUUGGAAGUAUGUAAUGGAUGCUGUGCCCACAUUUUUUUACACUAAAUUUCUCAUAAAAAUAUUUGGUAUGAGUUGGUCUGCCGGGCUUGCAAAUUUUAAGUUUUAUGAUUUAAUCAUAUUUAUGAUGCUGGAAUCAUUAUAUGUAGAGGAGAGCAUUCAUUACCUGAAUACCAGUAAACAGAAACUUCAGUUUCGUGAAAGCAUUCCAAUUGUCAAAUUCUUUUUGAAUGUGUGCCAUGUAGAAGUUUCACUAACACAGGGCUGGCUAGUUCGACCUGUUUCCCCCUCCCUGCCAGCCAUAAUAAUUUCUGUUCUGUUUUAAUUUUUUGUCCUAGGCUUUUGACAGAUCAUGCUCUUGCAUUGUUCGCAAUGGUGACUAUACAUAAUGCAUUGUUUUUAUUGUUUCUGAUAAUCUUAAAAUAAUAGAUCAAUUGAAGAAAGUUGCUAGUGGGUCAACCUUAGGUUGGAAAUAUGGAGUUGGAAAUACAUCAUCAUUAGACAUUAAAAAGAACAGUGAUACCAUCAAUAAAAUUUCCUAGGCCCCAAGCCAUUUUGUAAACACAUUUAUUCAAAAUAUGUAUGUUCAGUAAUAUGUUUGAUUCAGUGUUCCUGUGUUUCACAUAAGCACUGAUAUGUUUUCAUAAAUUAUCAGUUACCCAAAAAUUCAAUUGAUUUGUAAAUAAUAGAUUUCAACUAUCAGUCAUCCUUUGGAAUUUUUAUUGGCAGAUCUAGAUCUAGAUCUGCCAAUAAAAAUUCCAAAGGACGACUGAUUGCUGAAAUCUGUUAUUUACAAAUCAAAAAUAACGCUCGCUGUAUGCAACAGCCUCUGAAUGAGGGUAACCUGUAAAAAAUUCAAUUGUCCAAACACCAAUCAAUCCCCAGCUGUUUGGAUAAAUCGAUGCUUUACUGUGUCUGCUAAAUGGAACAAUGUGUGUUACACAUAAUCUGUUUUCUUUUUAUAUUAUUUGAUUCUUUGGUGUCAUCACCAAGUAAAGUAAACAAUCAGUAUUGAAAUUUUAGAUUUAUAAUUUUAUGUAAUUGUUUCUCAAUAAAACUGUAAAUGCUUCUGUUUUAUAAAUGUUUAGAGAUUUGUUAUUUACACUAGAGGUUGAGAUGCACCCUUAUAUUAUGUUGCUAGUAACCUUGCUGUUUACCAUCUGAAACCGGCACCAUCCAUUAUGUUUCUGAACAUUAAAAAUGCACCAUAUUUUCAAUAAGAAUAGAAUAUUGGACUGUGUUGGCCUGAUAUGCCUUCUUUCAGAAGGUAAAAAACAUAUUCAGUGCUUGCUUGAGUUCAAAAUCCAACUGACAGAGUCUUUACAGCCUCUGACAUUGUCUCCAGCAUUAGGAGGUGUAACGUAAGGCAUAAAAACAUGCCUUGGGCUAUAUCCUAAAGCAUAUGUAACUGAAACCACCAAACAUUUUGAGUAUUAUGUCAUUUUUGCUUUAAUCAGCUUGAACUUAUUACAGACUAAUCUAUGUCUAUCACAGUCACUUGAUAUCAGCCACAUAGCCUGAUUAAAGCAACAAAGACACCACUUAACAAUUUUAUACAGUGUGCACAUCCUGCUCCUAAGUAAUUACUAAAUUUUGAUCCUUAGUGAAGGGAGGAAUUUUAAUUUGUACAUGUUUUUAAAAUCCUUUUAAAUAUUUUCAGGGCUUUCUGUAUUAUUUCUGUGAACAUUAAAACUAUAUUUCCAUUUAUGAUAAAAACAGUGUACCCGUAACAGAGAUAUGACUACAAUACAUAUCACAGCAGUAUAAGAAAGGAUUAAAAAUAUAUCCAGGGGAGAAUUUGAAAAAUCUACAGAGAAAAUACAAAGCAACUUAAUCAGUGAGUAAGUUGAUUUGAACAACCAUUAAAAAACAGCCUUGUAACUCAUGUUAUGCAGUGCUGGUCAAAUGUCAGGAAAACAUAUAGACUGGAGUACCUCAGUGGUGGCGCUGUGGUGCAUGACUUUUCCGGGCAGUUGCUGGCGGGCUGUCCUCGUUGUGGCCGCCAGUACCCUAGCAAACGGUCACUCGUCAGGCAUGUUCGUUAUGUGUGUGGAAAGGAACCGCAGCUUCAGUGUCCGUACUGUCCCCACAGGAGCAAGUUUGCCAGUAACCUCAACCAACACAUACUGGCAAUCCAUCCUGGAAGAUCGCUCACUCAGUGGAAAUUCCCACGCAGCAAGCCUGUCCAUUUUAUGCUGUGAACUCUGGCUUACAGCUUUCAAUGUAAAUUUUUAUGUGUGACUGCCAUUGUUAUUGAAAAUGCAGAUGAUUAUUAAGCUAAUUGGUAUACUAGUUUAUAUUGAAAUGCUUUCUGCUACUAAUUGUAAAAUAAAACAAAGAAGCCUCCAUGGUUGAAUGUUCAGGCUAUUUUGGAAA
Molecule: RNA transcript, 4920 nt
Organism: Schistocerca cancellata (South American locust)
Lineage: Eukaryota; Metazoa; Arthropoda; Insecta; Orthoptera; Acrididae
Gene name: zinc finger protein 672-like
Exons: 3
Source: RefSeq, a predicted model, not a curated record